GCUAGCUACAGGCUUAACACAUGCAAGUCGAGGGGUAGCAUGGUCUUAGCUUGCUAAGGCCGAUGGCGACCGGCGCACGGGUGAGUAACACGUAUCCAACCUGCCGUCUACUCUUGGACAGCCUUCUGAAAGGAAGAUUAAUACAAGAUGGCAUCAUGAGUCCGCAUGUUCACAUGAUUAAAGGUAUUCCGGUAGACGAUGGGGAUGCGUUCCAUUAGAUAGUAGGCGGGGUAACGGCCCACCUAGUCUUCGAUGGAUAGGGGUUCUGAGAGGAAGGUCCCCCACAUUGGAACUGAGACACGGUCCAAACUCCUACGGGAGGCAGCAGUGAGGAAUAUUGGUCAAUGGGCGCAGGCCUGAACCAGCCAAGUAGCGUGAAGGAUGACUGCCCUAUGGGUUGUAAACUUCUUUUAUAAAGGAAUAAAGUCGGGUAUGGAUACCCGUUUGCAUGUACUUUAUGAAUAAGGAUCGGCUAACUCCGUGCCAGCAGCCGCGGUAAUACGGAGGAUCCGAGCGUUAUCCGGAUUUAUUGGGUUUAAAGGGAGCGUAGAUGGAUGUUUAAGUCAGUUGUGAAAGUUUGCAGCUCAACCGUAAAAAUUGCAGUUGAUACUGGAUAUCCUUGAGUGCAGUGNAGGCAGGCGGAAUUCGUGGUGUAGCGGUGAAAUGCUUAGAUAUCACGAAGAACUCCGAUUGCGAAGGCAGCCUGCUAAGCUGCAACUGACAUUGAGGCUCGAAAGUGUGGGUAUCAAACAGGAUUAGAUACCCUGGUAGUCCACACGGUAAACGAUGAAUACUCGCUGUUUGCGAUAUACAGCAAGCGGCCAAGCGAAAGCGUUAAGUAUUCCACCUGGGGAGUACGCCGGCAACGGUGAAACUCAAAGGAAUUGACGGGGGCCCGCACAAGCGGAGGAACAUGUGGUUUAAUUCGAUGAUACGCGAGGAACCUUACCCGGGCUUAAAUUGCAGAUGAAUUACGGUGAAAGCCGUAAGCCGCAAGGCAUCUGUGAAGGUGCUGCAUGGUUGUCGUCAGCUCGUGCCGUGAGGUGUCGGCUUAAGUGCCAUAACGAGCGCAACCCUUGUUGUCAGUUACUAACAGGUUCCGCUGAGGACUCUGACAAGACUGCCAUCGUAAGAUGUGAGGAAGGUGGGGAUGACGUCAAAUCAGCACGGCCCUUACGUCCGGGGCUACACACGUGUUACAAUGGGGGGUACAGAGGGCCGCUACCACGCGAGUGGAUGCCAAUCCCCAAAACCUCUCUCAGUUCGGACUGGAGUCUGCAACCCGACUCCACGAAGCUGGAUUCGCUAGUAAUCGCGCAUCAGCCACGGCGCGGUGAGUACGUUCCCGGGCCUUGUACACACCGCCCGUCAAGCCAUGGGAGCCGGGGGUACCUGAAGUGCGUAACCGCGAGGAGCGCCCUAGGGUAAAACU
This 1432-nucleotide ribosomal RNA is filed under the name uncultured organism. RNAcentral describes it as "16S ribosomal RNA". It matches the Rfam family "Bacterial small subunit ribosomal RNA". The record is from RNAcentral.